UUUUUUUUUUUUUUUUUCUUUUUAGAGUUGCACCUACGGCACGUGGAAGUUCCCAGGCUAGGGGUCGAAUCAGAGCUACAGCUGCCAGCCUACACCACAGUCAUAGCAACACAGGAUCCGAGCCUUGUCUGCGACCUACACUGCAGCUCACAGCAAUGCAGGAUCCUUAACCCACUGAGCAAGGCCAGAGAUCGAACCUGUGUCCUCAUGGAUUCUAGUCGGGUUCAUUACCACUGAGCCACAACAGGAAUUGAGGCCACGGGAAGGCUCCUGUUAAAGAACCAGAGCUUUUCCAGGAAGAGAAAUACAUUCCUCCCAAGGACCUCAUGAGCCUGGAUCAGCUCUUCCCACACCCAAGCCCUCAGCCUGCAGACCACAGGGCUCCAAGGCAGUGGGCAUGUUUUGACCACAGCCGUAUCACAUCUGCAGAGCACUUCCCAGUUUACAAUGUGUUUAAAAGGUGUGAGGACUUGUGAUGGAACAGGACGGGAGAUAAUGUGAGAAAAAGAAUGUACAUAUAUGUAUAACGGGGUCACUUUGCUAUACAGCAGAAAUUGACAAAACACUGUAAAUCAACUGUAAUUAAAAGAAUGUUAACAUCAACCCAUAAAUAAAAAGGGUGAAGAACGGGACCUCUGAGACCACACUAUCUGGAUCCAAACCCAUUUCAACAACUUUCUUUGCCAUUUCCCCCUGCAGGGCAAGCAGCACGAUGACCGCAGCUACCGCCUGGCGCUGCUGUUGGGAGAGGAUAACGUGGGCUCAACAGGUUGAGAGGCACCUCGACUGAUAAUCUGGCACUGGACACACAUGAGAAAUACAGACUGACCACAGCCCCCACCCUUGGGCGGGUGUCUUUCCUGGUGACAAGCAGAACAAGAUUCCUCAUGGAAUGCAUGGGAACACACAGGUAGGACUGCACAUGCGCUGGGAAGGAUGGCUCUAAGGGGACGGAGGUGCGGAGGAGAAAGUAGCUGAGCGACCAGAAAAAGCCAGAGCACCUCGAAAGGAGGUACAGGACUGAAAGGGAGAAAGGAGUACUCCUCAAAGAGACGGUUAGCUUUGUUUCUACAGAAAAGCCAGGUUUCUCUCCCACAGCCUAGACCAGAAUUAGCCACACGCUUUCCCAGCCUGUGACUAACACACUGCUGAUCUCUUGACCUAAGAGCACGCUGCUCAAUUCUGUACAGCUACCUAGGUGGCAUGUGAAAUGUGAUGUGCUGUCUUUGUCAGGGCUUUCCAGAGAAACCAAGCCAGUGACGUGUGUAGAGACACAGGAAGAGACUUCUUCUGAGGCACUGGGUCAUAGGUUCAGAGGCUGACGAGUCCAAAAUCUACAAAGAGGGCUGGAGACCCAGACAGGAGCCGAGGCUAGAAUUCAAGGCCAAAGGCUGGCUGCUGCAUUCCUUCCUCCCAGGAGGGGAGAGGUUAGUCUUUUGUGCUCGUCAGGCCUUCAACUGAUUGGAAGAGGCCCACCCCUAUCCUGAAGGGCAACCUGCUCUACUCAAGUCCAUGAUUUCAAAUGUUAAUCUCAUCCAUAAACACCUUCACAGAAACAUCCAGAAUAAUGUUUGGCCAAUAUCUCAGCCAGGUUGACACAUAAAAUUAACCAUAAUGUAAGUCCUUGUUGCCUCCAGAGGUGCCGUUUCACAGAAAAUUAUGAGACUGCCAAUGAAAACACAUGAGUUCUACGGAGAUGUUUGAAAAAGUUAAAAAACAAAACAAAACAAAACACAGAGGUGGCAAAGGAAUAAAACCCACCAAAUUCAAGAUGGUGGCUAACUCAGGUGGGAAGACAGCGAGAUUCAUUUUAUCACUAUGCUUUGUAACGCAUAUCUUCUUGUGUAUAUAUCGAAUAUUAUAUAAAAUAAAGGAGUUCCCUAGUGGUCUAGCAAUUAAGGAUCUGGCAUUGUCACUGCUGUGGCUCAGGUCACUGCUGUGGCAUGGAUUCGAUCCCUGGCCUGAGAACUUCUGCAUGCCACAGCUGUGGAAAGAGCCAAAAAAAAUUAAAAAAUAAUAAUAAUAAGGGGAGAGACUAAGCAUCUAGGCCAUGUAGUGAGACCGCCACCUCAGUCCAGCCUCCUGACCACUCCUGCACAGAAAUCCCCUUCUUGGCUCAUUUUUAUCUCCUCCGUCCAGGGGCUCGUGUUGCUAGAUGACUCCUUCAUGUGCUUAGCCCUUUCUUCUCAAAUGGGUUUUAAGUCCCCGAAGUCCUGGGGCAGUUUCUUACAUCUCUUCAUUAUCCCCACAGGUCUGGCUGAAGGAGUAACUCAAUAAACACCGAAGGCAGAACACCAAGGUGGGUGGGGGCAAGGGUAAGAAAAAUAAACCAGCGGAACAGCAGAACUGCUUGGGUGGCGCUGGGCUUCAGCUGCACGGAAGGCAUGAAUAGCUCCGUAACCGGCUUGAGGGAUCAGAAGGCGAGCAGGGGCACGUGUGGGAUUUUUACGUGCCUGCAAGGAAACAAUGCCCAUCCCGCUUGGUGGUCUGCUACAAAUAGUACCUGUGUCAGUAAGGAUAACACAGCAAGGCUUGUGGACGGCAGUGCACACCAGCGAGCGGGGAGCCCUGAUCAGCUGAGAUGCCCAGACUGGGAGCACACUUCCCAGGCACAUGGGACACUCAGCCCCAAGUGUCCUUACGAAACAUACUGUGGCACUGUGGCGCUUCUAGCCAAGUUCCCAAGCCAAUGUCCAGUCUCUCUCUCUCUCUCUCUUUUUUUUUUUUUUGUCUUUUUAGGGCCGCAUCUGUGGCACAUGGAAGUUCCCAGGCUAGGAGUUGAAUAGGAGCUGUGGCUGCUGGCCACAACCACAGCCACACCAGACCCAAGCCAUGUCUGCAACCUACAGCACAGCUCGCAGCAACGC
RNAcentral lists this long non-coding RNA (2867 nucleotides) under Sus scrofa (pig). RNAcentral describes it as "lncRNA (ENSSSCG00015055224.1)". The record is from RNAcentral. Lineage: Eukaryota; Metazoa; Chordata; Mammalia; Artiodactyla; Suidae.